ACAGAGGGUGCGAGCGUUAAUCGGAAUUACUGGGCGUAAAGCGUGCGUAGACGGUUAUUUAAGUCGGAUGUGAAAGCCCCGGGCUCAACCUGGGAAUUGCAUUCGAGACUGAAUAGCUAGGGUACGGUAGAGGGAAGUGGAAUUUCCGGUGUAGCGGUGAAAUGCGUAGAUAUCGGAAGGAACAUCAGUGGCGAAAGCGGCAUACUGGACCACAACUGACGCUGAUGCGCGAAAGCUAGGGGAGCAAACAGGA
RNAcentral lists this ribosomal RNA (253 nucleotides) under uncultured prokaryote. Its description in RNAcentral is "partial 16S ribosomal RNA". It matches the Rfam family "Bacterial small subunit ribosomal RNA", at positions 525 to 777 of the family's 1533-position model. The record is from RNAcentral.